GUGAGGAAUUUUCCGCAAUGGGCGAAAGCCUGACGGAGCAAUGCCGCGUGAGGGAUGAAGGCCUAUGGGUUGUAAACUUCUUUUCUUAGAGAAGAAUAUUGACGGUAUCUGAGGAAUAAGCAUCGGCUAACUCUGUGCCAGCAGCCGCGGUAAGACAGAGGAUGCAAGCGUUAUCCGGAAUGAUUGGGCGUAAAGCGUCUGUAGGUGGCUUCAAAAGUCUCCUGUCAAAGAUCAGGGCUUAACCCUGGGCCGGCAGGAGAAACUCUGAGGCUAGAGUUUGGUAGGGGCAGAGGGAAUUCCCGGUGGAGAGGUGAAAUGCGUAGAGAUCGGGAGGAACACCAAAGGCGAAAGCACUCUGCUGGGCCACAACUGACACUGAGAGACGAAAGCGAGGGGAGCAAAAGGGAUUAGAAACCCCGGUAGUCC
RNAcentral lists this ribosomal RNA (426 nucleotides) under uncultured bacterium. RNAcentral's name for it is "partial 16S ribosomal RNA". It matches the Rfam family "Bacterial small subunit ribosomal RNA", at positions 354 to 796 of the family's 1533-position model. The record is from RNAcentral.